GGGGGCGACUUGGCUUCGACGUGGGUAGCAGAGCUUGCGGUGCAUGCCGAGAGGGUAGUGACUCUCGUUAAACAAUCGCUGUAACUUUAAUAUAGUUGCCAACGACGAAAACUACGCACUAGCGGCCUA
This 129-nucleotide transfer-messenger RNA is filed under the name Gammaproteobacteria bacterium. RNAcentral describes it as "partial transfer-messenger RNA". It matches the Rfam family "transfer-messenger RNA", at positions 1 to 127 of the family's 374-position model. Rfam says of the family: Bacterial tmRNA, also known as 10Sa RNA or SsrA, is named for its dual tRNA and mRNA-like properties. Its role is to liberate the mRNA from a stalled ribosome. Lineage: Bacteria; Pseudomonadati; Pseudomonadota; Gammaproteobacteria. The record is from RNAcentral.